AAAUCUAGGAGCAGGAAUUGAUUUUGUCCCAUUGAAGGCCCCACAAGUAGGAUAUGGUUCUCAAAGUUUUCCCCUUUAAAAUGAGAAAGGGUCCCCUCCCAUAUGCACAGACUCACGUCUCCAUCGUCCCAAAGAUUGUCUCAAGCACCAGAUUCUUCCAGGUGGAAAUUUUCCGUGCUCCCUGCUGCAGUGGCGCUGCUGUUCCAAUGUCACUUCACCUGGAACAAAGGAGUCCUGGAAUCAAGUCCCUUCCACAGACAGAGUUGUGUCUGUUUCCUACAAAGCUGCCUGUUCAAUACAGAGAUAGAAAAUGUUAGUAAAGAACCUUCCUUUGAACAGACUGCUCAACUUCCAAUGAAAAUACUGUGAUAUGUUGCAAGUGUUGGAGCAUCAGUUGAGAGCUCACACAUUUGUGUCGCUGUAUAAAAUGCACUGGCCGCAAUAUUUGUUGCUGCCGUGCACACAGAUGUGUGUGUUUAUUUAUUUAUGUUUAAAAUGCAACUACAUUAUUUUAGAGCUUUUACUGGUACAUCGAAAAUGCAUCAGUGAUACAUAAGAUAGUUCUAUUCAGUAUGUAUGUAUCUAAUAGAGUAAGAGAAGAGGGGCUGUAGCUCUCAUUAGCAUCUUGCAGGCGUGAUACUUGCCCCAUUUAGGUCAGGACUACAUCCUUGACUAAGGUGAGUACAAAUGAUCUCAAUCAGGUUGCGCUUGAAUAGACAAAUGCACCAGAUGCAAAAUGCUCUUUUCUUCCUUUCUGGCUUUGUAUAAGCAUUACAAUGUCUGUAGCCUGGAUGUUCUACAGAAGCUUCUGUCCUGUGGUAUCUCACAAUUUUCUGUAGGGAAAUCAGAGUUUUUAUUCAUUGCUCCCCUUUGCUGUGUAGAAUUGCCGAGCGGAAUUUAAGACAAGCAGCUCAGUGAAGGAUCUGUGCAAGAUCUGCAAUGAGCAGAGGUCAGGAAGUCUCACAAAGAGCCAAGAACUGCAGGGAAUGCGGGAUACCAAAAAUACUGACAGUACCUGAUGAUUGAAAGUGCUACUUUUCCAGCAAAAGAAUUCCACGUUACUGUUAUGAUCCAAUGAGUUUCUUGUGCCAGUGCUAUCCCCCAAGUUCUGAAAAUAUUCUCAGAAUAAUGGAACAGAUAUCUCACUGAUCCUGCUUCAGGUUUUAUAAGCCAACAGUUUACAGUAAAUUUUGAGUUUAUGUAGUUCAUUUUCAAGGGUGAGCAGAGGUUUCACACUUUACAGUGCUGAUCUUGUGAGGUAAGCAAGUAAAUACUAUCAUUAACUGCUGACAAGUGAUCUGUAUUUCACUCUAAGCUGAUAUCAUUGAGCAACAAAUCCUUUCAAGAUGAGGUAGCUAGCUCAGAUCCGGAGGGAAGGGAGUGUCUUGCAUCACCCCACAGCUCACUUUUUGGAUGUCAGCUUGCUGCUGGACUCAGAAGGGAGUCCCAUCCAGUCUUCUUCAGCCAGAAGUUAGCAGCUGAGACACAGUCUCAAGGGUUAUAUGGAAAGGGAGUGAGCUCAGGCAUCUGUAGAGGACUCUGGAAGGACAAAAUAAUUUAACAGUUGGUAAUAUGUUAGUGAAACUUUUGAAGAAAUAUGUAGGAAUACAAAAACUUCUUUUGUUCUAUGACUUCACAGAAAAGGGCUUUGACACUUGAAUUUCCCAGUAGGAAGAAAAAGAAGGCUUUGCAUUCACAGAUAGUUCUCAAAGGAUUUGGUGGUUUUGAAUACUGGAAAAUUUGAACAAAUGUCUUUAGCCAAAUGCUCCUCAUUUUCAGAACAGGAUAGUUAAUUUUUUGGAGGUGAGGUCCUCUGCAUCUUUAAAAAUUGAAGAGUACAUUGGAAACCCAUUCCUCAGCAUGUGGCAUGCAUUCAAAGCAAAUCAACAUGUAAGAAUUACAUUCCAUUUCUUUCCACGUAGAGGUUUAAUCACACCACAUUCCUUUAGUAGUAAUGAGAGCUGGCUGGUGUUACACCACAUUCUUCCUCAGCUUCUGUGAUGAUAUCAAGAAAGCAAAACAGUUCUGCAACUAUUGUCAAGCUUUUCUGAGUAAAUUAAAAGGUCAAAACAGCAUUUUCCUGAGAUAAUCUUUAAAAAUAAAGCUAUUU
This is a long non-coding RNA of Gallus gallus (chicken), 2110 nucleotides long. The record is from Ensembl. Lineage: Eukaryota; Metazoa; Chordata; Aves; Galliformes; Phasianidae.